UACGAAGGGGGCGAGCGUUGUUCGGAUUUACUGGGCGUAAAGGGCGCGCAGGCGGCGCAUUUUGUCAGGCGUGAAAGCCCCGGGCUUAACCUGGGAAUUGCAUUCGAGACUGAAUAGCUAGGGUACGGUAGAGGGAAGUGGAAUUUCCGGUGUAGCGGUGAAAUGCGUAGAUAUCGGAAGGAACAUCAGUGGCGAAAGCGACUUCCUGGACCAGUACCGACGUUCAGGCACGAAAGCGUGGGGAGCAAACAGG
Molecule: ribosomal RNA, 253 nt
Filed under: uncultured bacterium
Lineage: Bacteria
Description: partial 16S ribosomal RNA
Rfam family: Bacterial small subunit ribosomal RNA
Source: RNAcentral